UCCAGAACCCAUUUAUGUUACUGUCUCUUUAAGGCCCCCCAGCAUUCCAGAACCCAUUUAUGUUACUGACUCUUUAAGGUCCCCCAACAUUCCAGAACCCAUGUAUGUUACUGUGUCUUUAAGGCCCUCCUCAGAAAAGAAAACACAUAGUUGACCAGCACCAAUACAAGAAUACAAUCAGCCAAUCCACCUCACAGGGCCGAACAUCUGCCUGUAGCGCAGGUGUCUGUGAUGAUGACAUGCAUGUAUUACACUUUGCAAACAGACGACACACAGACUCUACGAGCACAGUGGUCAGUUCUCUAUGUGGUCUGGUAAGGAUGAGCGCUCAGGCUAUCAGACGGACUUACUUUAACAAAUAGUUGCUUAAACAUGAAACUGCCAAGCAACAAAAAAGUAGCAUUGAGACAUGUUUCAGAUCAAAUUAUAUAUCUCACAUCCCGGGAUGUGACCUCUACACAUGUGCACUGCAUUGUUUAACCGACAUCUCAAGCAAACCUGAUCCAAAGGUAGAAAUUUCAGCCAAGUAAGGCCUCUAAAGCUCACAGUAAGAAGUCAUGUCGUCCUACCUCCACCUUCUGCUUCUUUGAUGUCUUCCUCAAUUGCUUCCUCAAUCGCCUCAUCGAAUUCAUCAAAUCUGCAACAUCAACAAAAACAAGAGCUCCUUUUAAAAGGUGGUAGAGAACAUCAGCCUUUAGCAUUACACCAGCUUACAUCUGAAACUUUACAACAACACAAAGUCUGCCUCAGACCUGUAGCUGAUGGAUUUCUUGGCUCUUGUAGAUCUUCGACCCCAGCUCUUACUCUUCUUUGUUUCUUUCUUCUCUUUGAUUAUGAUCUCAGGUUUUUCCUCCUCAGGCUCCACCUGUGAGGAGAGAGAGAGAGAGAGAGACAGAGAGAAAGAGAGUGUUCAUGCUACAAUCAUUUACAUGUGGAUAUUUGACUGGCAAACAAGCAGUCACAGUUUGAACAUACCGAGGGCGUGAUGAUGUUUUCAAGGCUGAUUCCAACAUAUAUUAGACGCUCUUUCCUGGAGGGGAUAAAACACACAUGAAGAAAGGACCAAAGAUUAAAGAAGGGAAGCAUCGAGGUUCGUGAGCUGCUCUUCUAGUUUGUCACAGAGCAGCUUCUGCAGGGAGGAAAAAACAAAACAUUAUAUGACAUUACCAUCUGUCACAUCUGUCACAUUUGAUGUUUGUCGCUGUGACUGGUACGUACAUGCUGACAGGGGGGACAGAACCAUUCUCCGUCGGGGAUGAUCAUGAGAGGAGGCCUCAGACAGGCGGUGUGGUACCCGCUGUCACAUGAAUCACACAGUAAGAUCUGCAGGAGAGAGGUUUAAAGACAUUAAGUCAGUUCAUCUUUCAAGCAAACAUGUCAAAUUAAAGCUGGCUAAACUUCA
Notolabrus celidotus (New Zealand spotty) is the source of this 1402-nucleotide long non-coding RNA. RefSeq lists it as uncharacterized. The record is from RefSeq and is a predicted model, not a curated record. The transcript has 2 exons. Lineage: Eukaryota; Metazoa; Chordata; Actinopteri; Labriformes; Labridae.